RNAcentral lists this transfer RNA (28 nucleotides) under Vandijkophrynus gariepensis (Karroo toad). RNAcentral describes it as "partial tRNA-Phe". Lineage: Eukaryota; Metazoa; Chordata; Amphibia; Anura; Bufonidae. The record is from RNAcentral.
AGAUGAACCCUAAAAAGUUCUUUAGACA